GGUUCGGUUAGGAGUAGGGUUAGGGUUAGGGUUAGAGGUUCCCUAACCCUACUCCUAACCCUACCCCUAACCCUACCCUAACCGAACC
Pelobates cultripes (western spadefoot toad) is the source of this 88-nucleotide non-coding RNA. Lineage: Eukaryota; Metazoa; Chordata; Amphibia; Anura; Pelobatidae. The record is from the annotation of a GenBank genome assembly.